Molecule: ribosomal RNA, 375 nt
Filed under: uncultured bacterium
Lineage: Bacteria
Description: bacterial SSU rRNA
Rfam family: Bacterial small subunit ribosomal RNA
Source: RNAcentral
AUUGAACGCUGGCGGCAGGCUUAACACAUGCAAGUCGAGCGGAGACUUCGGUCUUAGCGGCGAACGGGUGAGUAACACCUAGGAAUCUGCCUAUUAGUGGGGGAUAACGUGUGGAAACGCACGCUAAUACCGCAUACGUCCUACGGGAGAAAGCAGGGGAUCUUCGGACCUUGCGCUAAUAGAUGAGCCUAGGCCGGAUUAGCUAGUUGGUGGGGUAAAGGCCUACCAAGGCGACGAUCUGUAGCUGGUCUGAGAGGAUGGCCAGCCACACUGGAACUGAGACACGGUCCAGAUUCCUACGGGAGGCAGCAGUGGGGAAUAUUGGACAAUGGGGGCAACCCUGAUCCAGCCAUGCCGCGUGUGUGAAGAAGGCCU